This 365-nucleotide ribosomal RNA is filed under the name uncultured bacterium. Its description in RNAcentral is "bacterial SSU rRNA". It matches the Rfam family "Bacterial small subunit ribosomal RNA", at positions 976 to 1337 of the family's 1533-position model. The record is from RNAcentral.
UAGGCUUGACAUACCAAGAAUUUUCUAGAGAUAGAGGAGUGCCUGCUUGCAGGAAUUUGGAUACAGGUGCUGCACGGCUGUCGUCAGCUCGUGUCGUGAGAUGUUGGGUUAAGUCCCGCAACGAGCGCAACCCUCGUCCUUAGUUGCCAGCAGGUUAAGCUGGGCACUUUAAGGAGACUGCCUUCGCAAGGAGGAGGAAGGUGAGGACGACGUCAAGUCAUCAUGGCCCUUAUGGCUAGGGCUACACACGUGCUACAAUGGGGCGUACAGAGAGUUGCGAUACCGCGAGGUGGAGCCAAUCUCACAAAGCGUCUCUCAGUUCGGAUUGAAGUCUGCAACUCGACUUCAUGAAGCUGGAAUCACUA